Molecule: ribosomal RNA, 326 nt
Filed under: uncultured eukaryote
Lineage: Eukaryota
Description: partial 18S ribosomal RNA
Rfam family: Eukaryotic small subunit ribosomal RNA
Source: RNAcentral
CCCUUAGAUGUUCUGGGCCGCACGCGCGCUACACUGAUGCAUUCAACAAGCCUAGCCUUGACCGAGAGGUCCGGGUAAUCUUUGAAACUGCAUCGUGAUGGGGCUAGAUUAUUGCAAUUAUUAAUCUUCAACGAGGAAUGCCUAGUAAGCGUGAUUCAUCAAAUCGCGUUGAUUACGUCCCUGCCCUUUGUACACACCGCCCGUCGCUCCUACCGAUUGAAUGUGUUGGUGAGGAGCUCGGAUUGGCAGCAGUUGGUGGUUCGCCACCGGCUAUUGCUGAGAAGUCCUCCAAACCGCCCCAUUUAGAGGAAGGAGAAGUAGUAACA